UAGCUGGUCUGAGAGGAUGGCCAGCCACACUGGAACUGAGACACGGUCCAGACUCCUACGGGAGGCAGCAGUGGGGAAUCUUGCACAAUGGGCGAAAGCCUGAUGCAGCGACGCCGCGUGGGGGAUGAAGCUUCUCGGAGUGUAAACCCCUUUCGACCGGGACGAAUAUCCGCCUUUGGCGGAGGUGACGGUACCGGUAUAAGAAGCCCCGGCUAACUACGUGCCAGCAGCCGCGGUAAGACGUAGGGGGCCAGCGUUGCUCGGAAUUACUGGGUGUAAAGGGUUCGUAGGCGGUGUGGCAAGUCGGGAGUGAAAUCUCUGAGCUUAACUCAGGGGCUGCUUCCGAAACUGCUGUGCUAGAGUGUGGGAGAGGCGCGUGGAAUUGCAGGUGUAGCGGUGAAAUGCGUAGAUAUCUGCAGGAACACCCGUGGCGAAAGCGGCGCGCUGGACCACUACUGACGCUGAGGAACGAAAGCUAGGGGAGCAAACAGGAUUAGAUACCCUGGUAGUCCUAGCCCUAAACGAUCAGGACUUGGGGUGCCGCCCGUUCGGGUGUCGUCCCGGAGCUAACGCGUUAA
This 578-nucleotide ribosomal RNA is filed under the name uncultured bacterium. RNAcentral describes it as "bacterial SSU rRNA". It matches the Rfam family "Bacterial small subunit ribosomal RNA", at positions 284 to 863 of the family's 1533-position model. The record is from RNAcentral.